RNAcentral lists this ribosomal RNA (253 nucleotides) under uncultured bacterium. RNAcentral's name for it is "partial 16S ribosomal RNA". It matches the Rfam family "Bacterial small subunit ribosomal RNA", at positions 524 to 776 of the family's 1533-position model. The record is from RNAcentral.
UACGUAGGUGGCAAGCGUUGUCCGGAUUUACUGGGCGUAAAGGAUGCGUAGGCGGAUGUUUAAGUGAGAUGUGAAAUCCCCGAGCUCAACUUGGGUGCUGCAUUUCAAACUGGAUAUCUAGAGUGCAGGAGAGGAAAGCGGAAUUCCUAGUGUAGCGGUGAAAUGCGUAGAGAUUAGGAAGAACACCAGUGGCGAAGGCGGCUUUCUGGACUGUAACUGACGCUGAGGCAUGAAAGCGUGGGGAGCAAACAGG